RNAcentral lists this ribosomal RNA (485 nucleotides) under uncultured bacterium. Its description in RNAcentral is "partial 16S ribosomal RNA". It matches the Rfam family "Bacterial small subunit ribosomal RNA", at positions 30 to 507 of the family's 1533-position model. The record is from RNAcentral.
AUUGAACGCUGGCGGCAGGCUUAACACAUGCAAGUCGAGCGGGGAAAGGUAGCUUGCUACCUGACCUAGCGGCGGACGGGUGAGUAAUGCUUAGGAAUCUGCCUAUUAGUGGGGGACAACAUCUCGAAAGGGAUGCUAAUACCGCAUACGUCCUACGGGAGAAAGCAGGGGACCUUCGGGCCUUGCGCUAAUAGAUGAGCCUAAGUCGGAUUAGCUAGUUGGUGGGGUAAAGGCCUACCAAGGCGACGAUCUGUAGCGGGUCUGAGAGGAUGAUCCGCCACACUGGGACUGAGACACGGCCCAGACUCCUACGGGAGGCAGCAGUGGGGAAUAUUGGACAAUGGGGGGAACCCUGAUCCGGCCAUGCCGCGUGUGUGAAGAAGGCCUUUUGGUUGUAAAGCACUUUAAGCGAGGAGGAGGCUACCGAGAUUAAUACUCUUGGAUAGUGGACGUUACUCGCAGAAUAAGCACCGGCUAACUCGGUG